This 472-nucleotide ribosomal RNA is filed under the name uncultured bacterium. RNAcentral describes it as "bacterial SSU rRNA". It matches the Rfam family "Bacterial small subunit ribosomal RNA", at positions 355 to 825 of the family's 1533-position model. The record is from RNAcentral.
UGGGGAAUUUUGGACAAUGGGCGAAAGCCUGAUCCAGCAAUGCCGCGUGAGUGAAGAAGGCCUUCGGGUUGUAAAGCUCUUUUGUCAGGGAAGAAACGGUGAGAGCUAAUAUCUCUUGCUAAUGACGGUACCUGAAGAAUAAGCACCGGCUAACUACGUGCCAGCAGCCGCGGUAAUACGUAGGGUGCAAGCGUUAAUCGGAAUUACUGGGCGUAAAGCGUGCGCAGGCGGUUUUGUAAGUCUGAUGUGAAAUCCCCGGGCUCAACCUGGGAAUUGCAUUGGAGACUGCAAGGCUAGAAUCUGGCAGAGGGGGGUAGAAUUCCACGUGUAGCAGUGAAAUGCGUAGAUAUGUGGAGGAACACCGAUGGCGAAGGCAGCCCCCUGGGUCAAGAUUGACGCUCAUGCACGAAAGCGUGGGGAGCAAACAGGAUUAGAUACCCUUGUAGUCCCUGAGCGGGCUGGCAAGGCGCAU